GGAUGCGAUCAUAUCAGCACUAAAGCACCGGAUCCCAUCAGAACUCCGAAGUUAAGCGUGCUUGGGCGAGAGUAGUACUAGGAUGGUUGACCUCCUGGGAAGUCCUCGUGUUGCAUUCC
Molecule: ribosomal RNA, 119 nt
Filed under: Hordeum vulgare subsp. vulgare (domesticated barley)
Lineage: Eukaryota; Viridiplantae; Streptophyta; Magnoliopsida; Poales; Poaceae
Source: RNAcentral